GAAGCGUCUUCGUACUCUCUCAGAAUCUUCAAUAGAGUGGAGCAGCUCUUGCUGUCUGUUCGGAUGAAAAACAUGGUGUCAUCGACCAACAGUAAGUGAUUAAUUCGUGGACUGUUUGUUGCAACUUUAACACCAGGUAGAUUUCCAUUAUUUUGAGCCUCUAAGCAUAGACCUGAUAGCACUUUGCUGCACAGGAUGAAGAUAUAGGGAGAGAUAGGAUCUGUUAGGGGAUUUUUGUGUAGGCUCUUUGUGAAUACUACAGAACGAUGGAUAGGCUGGUAAACCGGGUGAAUUUGUAUGUGUUUCGUGAGGAUUUAAAGAGAAUGAUAAAGAAAUAGGCUUGAAGAGACGUAUUAUUGAUCAGGCAAACAAGAACAAGGGCGGUUACAAUGAUCUUUUAAUAAACCCUAGUUCUAGCUCUCUAAUUCUAGUCUCUAAGCCUUGGAGAAGUCGAUCCCUUGCGUUAGGGUUUUAGUAGCUCUUAUUGAAGGUCUUGUAGCCAUAUGGCUUGUUUAGCCGCUUCAGUGGCCGCCAUAAGUUCAGCCUCACAAGAUGAUAGUGCAACUAUCUCUUGUUUACAUGAACACCACGAUAUUGGACUUGUAUUGAGGUAAAAUACAUGUCAUGUAGUGCUCUUACCAUCAUCGCCAUCAACAUUGUGAGAGCUAUCACUCAACCCCCACCAGCUCUAAACUCGUUGCUUGCGUGAACAUGAGCCCAAGAGAUGUUGUUCCACGUAAAUAAUGCAAUACCUGCUAAGCAGCACCAUGAGAUUCAUUGGGGAUCUUGCAUAUAUCUACUUAACACCCCGACACUAAAACUCACAUCAGGUCGAGUGUGAACUAAAUCUCCCAGACAUCCCACACUUCUCCUAUACGCAUUCGCAUCUAUACUCUUUUCUUCGGCUGACUUUGAUAACUUAACGUUCGAAUCCAUGGGAGUGUGGGUUGGAUUGCACACACUCAUUCCAGUUUCUUCAAGUAUCUUCUCUGUAUACCGUUCUUGUUUCAACAUAAUACCAUCUCGAUGUUGAAGAACUUUGAUGCCCAGAUAAUAUGUAAGCUUGCCAAGAUCUCUCAUCUCGAACUUUGUUGCCAUCUCCUACUUAAACUUGAGUAUUAACUGCAACGAAGUCCCCGUGACCAGCACAUCGUCGACAUACACCACCACCAAGAGAAUUCCACCUUUUGCCUCUUUUCUAUAUAAAGGGGGAUCUUUAGAACACUUUUUAAACUUGAAUUCAAGGAGAAUCUUGUUUAACUUAGUGUUCCAAGCUUUGGGAGCUUGUUUUAAACCCGUAGAAAGCCUUCUUUAGUUUGUAAACCUUCCCUUCUUUGCCGGUGACUUCAAAACCUUCUGGUUGUUCCACAAACACUUCUUCUUUCAACUCUCCAUGCAAGAAUGCGAUUUUUACAUCCAGGGGAUGUACUCCCAUCCCUUUGAAGCUGCUAGUGCUAUAACCAAUCGAAUUGUCUCAAUACGUGCCACUAGUGCGAAGACUUCGUCAUAAUCAAUCUCAUGCCUUUGAACGUAACCCUUUGCCACCAAACGUGCUUUGUAUUUGCUGAUGCUUCCAUCCGCGUUUCUUUUAAUCUUAAACACCCACUUUAAGCCAAUAGGUUUCAUCCCUACAGGAAUGUCAAUGAGUUCCCACGUGUUGUUCUUCUCUAUAGAGAAUAUUUAAUAUUUGCAAGCAUCGACCCAUACCUUUAGUUCCUUAGCUUCGGUGCAAUCCAACUGUUCGUUGUUUAUAAUCAUUAGAAAAUGUUCUCCUUCAAUCUCUGCGAUGAUGAUGUAGUCAUCUUGUUCGUGAGUCAUUAAGUUUGUGCUGAGAUCGUGAAACUAUAUUUGGUAUCAGAACCAGGAUCACAAUAAGUGAUGUUAAAGAAGAAGCCGAGUUGAACACGAAGGAAUCCGGAUCUUCCUCGAUCAAGUUUCCAGUGCUAAAUUCUACAGACUAUAUUGUGUGGGCUAUGAUAAUGAAGAAUUCCCUCAAGGUCAACAAAAUCUGGGAAUCUACUGAUCCAGGGAACAAAAUCGAAGAGAAACAAUAUAGCUAUUGCUCUGAUUUUCCAAUCAAUACCAGAGGCAUUGACCUUGCAGGUCAGGGAUCUUGACACGGCAAAGGCGGUAUGGGAUGCAAUUAAGGCAAGACACGUUGGAGCUGAGAGAGUAAGAGAAGAAAGAUUGCACACUCAUGCAAGAGUUUGAUCUACUCAAGAUGAGGGAAGAAGACACGAUCGACACAUUCGUUGGGAGACUCUCUGAAAUUUCAUCAAAAUCGUCCUCUCUAGGAGAAGUCAUUGAAGAAACUAAAAUUGUGAAGAAAUUUUUUAAAGAGUCUUCCAAGAAAGAAAUACAUACAUAUUGUCGUGUCGUUGGAGCAAGUUUUGAAGCUUAACACUAUGAGCUUUGAAGAUAUUGUGAGAAGAUUGAGGGCCUGUGAGGAGAGAAUAUGUAUAUAAGAAGAACAGCAACAAGAUGACUCCGGAAAGUUGAUGUAUCCUAACUCUGAAACGCAACAAGAUGGCUACGGGAGUUACAGCACUAACAGAGAUAGAGGGCGAGGAGGUCGCUCUACAUGGAGAGGAAGAGGCCGUAGCAGGUUUGGAAACUUCCAAGCCCAACGAGAUGCGUAUAAACAAGGUCAAGGUCUGGUACGAGACACUUCUCACAUCGCAUGCUUUCGAUGUGAUAAAUUUGGUCAUUAUACAUCAGAAUGUCCAGAUAGAUUGCUCAAGCUUCAAGAAACAGUCGAAAAGAAGACCAAAGAUACACAGGAAGCUGAUGAAUUUAUGAUGCAUGAGGUAGUCUAUCUCAAUGAAAAGAAGGUGUAUCCAAGUGUUUUCGAUACAGAUCUUGACACAUCAAAUAUUUGAUAUCUUGACAAUAGAGCCAGCAACCAUAUGAGUGGAAGUCGAAUGUUCUAAGUGAAGCUUGACGAGUCAAUCACCGGAAAAUGAGGUUUGGAGAUGAUUCCCGCAUUGAUAUGAAGGAAAAAGGCUCGAUCAAGUUUGUAUUCAAAGGAGGUGAGAAAAGGAUCUUGCACAAUGUGUAUUACAUACUAGGAUUGAAGAGUAAUAUAGUUUGUUUGGGCCAAGCCACCGAGGUAGGAUGUGAAGUACGGAUGAAAGAUGAUCUUCUAAUGUUAUACGAUCGUUUCGGUACUCUGAUGGUUAAAACUACUCGGUCGAGGAACAGACUUUACAAGAUCACUCUGCACAUCGAGAAUCACGAAUGCUUGCAAAUCACGUCAUCGAAUGAAACCUUCAAGUGGCAUGCACGGCUCGGCCAUAUGAACACUGAGACGAUAAAAAAGAUGAUCAGCAAGGAACUUGUAACUGGCAUACCAACCAUUGUCACCGAUAAAGAAACAUGUAUGUCAUGCAUGCUUGGAAAACAAACGAGAAAGCCAUUCCCACAAGCUACUACAUACCGAGCCUCUCGUGCUCUUGAGCUCGUUCACGGUGAUCCCUGCGGACCCAUCACACCAUCUACACCGGCACAUAAGAGAUACGUAUUUGUGCUUAUCGAUGAUCAUUCACGUUACAUGUGGACCAUACUGUUGAAAGAAAAGAGUGAAGCUUUUGAUAAAUUUCGACGGUUUAAGAUGUUAGCUGAGAAAGAAACAACAUCGACAUUGAAGACUUUUAGGUCAGGCAGAGGUGGGGAAUUCAUGUCACGAGAAUUUCAAAUAUUUUGUGACGAAACCGGUGUUAACAAACACACGACAGCACCAUAUUCUUCUCAGCAGAAUGGUGUUGUUGAAAGACGUAAUCGAACGCUUCUCGAGAUGACCAGGAAUAUUUUGAAGCAUAAAAACGUACCGAAUGAACUUUGGGAUGAAGCUGUGAGACACAGAAUUACGACAAGAUCUUUGGUCGGGAGGACACAGUAUGAGGUCCUAUGAAGCAAGAAACCAGACCUCUCACAUCUGAGAAUCUUCGGGUGCAUCUGCUAUGCCAAGACACACACAGUAGGAAGAAAGAAACUCGACGACAGGUCCAAGCUCUUAGUUCACUUGGGGACUGAUCCCUGUUCGAAAGCCUACCGGCUACUCGAACCAGUCAGCAAAAGGAUAGUAGUUAGUCUUGAUGUUGUACUCGACGAAGACAAAGGCUGUAACUAGAACAAAGAUAUGACGACCCAGGAUGUAGAUGGUGGGAGUUUUGUGAUCAAUAUGAGAUCAGUAAUUGAAGGCACUGAAACUCAAGAAGGUCAGAACGAGACUGAUAUAGGCGAUGAUGUUCAUGAAAUAACUAAUGAUGAAGAGAAUGAUAACCAUAGCCACCAUGAAGAAGAUCAACCAAGACGAUCCUCCAGAACAUGUCUCUGAUAUCAAAUAUAAUUUCACGAUCUCAGCACAAACUUAAUGACUCACGAACAAGAACUGUGUUAAUAAGUAUAACUCUCUUAUUUAUCUUUUAAAGGAAAUAGUGCUCAAAAACCUUAAGCUCUCAAAUCACUCACACAAAUCACAAUAUGCAAACAUCAUAUGCAUCUUCUUAUAUAAGACUAGAAAACUCCUAAUCCUAUUAGUAAUAACACUUUUCAUUACUUCCUAAUUCUUUUAGAUUGCCAUAACUCGAUAGGAUUAUGAUAGCUUGUUUCUCAAGCUAACUUCGAACUCACUCCAACAAUUUGGUGUACUAUUUUUCUCGGUUUGGUUGUUGAUAAACGAGAGGUCUUGCUUUUACUCUACUGCAGUAUGAGUAUGAGUUUAGAGAUGAAUCGUCAUGACAUUUGGCUGUCCAUCUACUAUGACACACACCGCAUGACAUUUACUACUCUAGUAGAUAAUUCCUACCACCAAGGGCUUCAGGAGCCUUAUCACCAUGUAAAGUAUUUAGAUUUAUGAUUGCAUUUUAGGCAGGAGCAAGGGUUUUAGGCGCCAUAUUCCUAUUCUUUAUAUUAUAAGGGUAUUCUAUUCCUUAUAUAUAAGGGCAUUAGACUUCUUAAGUCCAUGAAGUGUAGUGGUCUCAGAUUCUUUUCUCAUUCUAGUGGUGGUAGGUUCGAAGCCAUACAGAUUAUUUUAUUUUACUCCCCUCUUUUGAUACUGAUAAUAAAUGAAACUUAUACGACUGCGUUUCGAAACAGGUUAGCUUAUUCCCUUUUAACAGAUUUUUUUUAUUAUUAUAUGGAGUAUUAUAUUAAAUGAAGUGUAAAAUAAAAACCUAAUGAUCAUUUAUUCAUUCUAACAAUUUGAUUUUUCUUUCAUCUUAGUCGUUUAAAAAAAAAUUAUGUCCUUAACUUUUUAUUGAUUGUCGCAUUUUUUUAAUUUUUAUUGUAAGUUUUCUUAUCCUUCUUCUCUAUUUUUGUAAUUUUUAUAAUCUGUUUUACAAAAAUCAAAAUAUAAACAAACAUAAAAUUAACCUAAAUAAGUUAAUUUUAUGUAAAAAUUUGAAAAUUUAAUAGUAUUUUGCAAAUUUAACUUAAUGUUAAUGUGAUUUGGAUGGGUUAGUCCUUUAAAAAUAUUGUGAAUGGAUGGUAGAGAAAAAAAAAGAAUUUCAUAAAUAAUAUGUAGAAGUUUUUUUUUGGAAAGCGAUAAAUUUUUAGUAUUAAUUUAUAUUUUGAUUACAUAAAUAAAAACGGAAAUAAAAUAUUAAUAACAUGUAUAAAGAUUUGUGCACUUUGGCGCCAGUUACGUCCAAACCGGCACUGACUCUACGUAGGGUUGUCAAUUUACUAGUGAAUUUUUCAAAAUGAAAGUGAUAAAAAUAAAUAAUGGUACAAUGAAAGUGGUAAACACGAAAUUCUCUCUAUCAAAUAUUUUAUGCACUCGCUAUUAAAAAAAAUGCUAAGCGAAUGUAGUAACACUAAUAUCUAAAUAUAACUGCUUUGUUCUUUCUUUCUAACACAUUUUAAAUGGAAAAUACUAAAAGGGCUAAAAUAAAGUAUAUGAAGAAACUAUAAACACAAGCAGCACCGACUCAAAUUAUUUACGGGCCUUGUUCAAAACCAUAUUAGUUUAACGAGAUAAUAUAGUAGUUUUAAAAGUUUAUAACUGUUUAUAACUAUAUAUAUGUGAUGUCUCUUUUAAAAUUAUAAGCUUUAACUUUAGUAAUAUACCUAAAAAUUCUAAAGGCUUCGAACACAGUAUAUUUAUCUUCAAAAAUUUCUUCUUUUUUUAAGUUUUAAAAUUGGACCAUGUUCGACCGCUCCACUUAUUUAUGUUAUUAGACGUCCUGAACUCAAGUACCGAAAUAACUGGAACAUAUUUUCUCAAGAAACCCACGAAGUGGAGAAUGCAACAGUUGAUCCAAAAAAAAAGAAUACAGCGAUGUGUUAACAGAAGAUUCCACUAACAAAAGCCAAACUGCUGUUGAUGUUAACAGAGCAACCUUUGUUUCUUUUUGGUUCGAUGCAGAAUACAUUUAAUAAUCAAUCUUGCUAGACUAGUAAAGAGUCAAAUAAUCAUAACCAAUAAAGCUGAGGCUCUUACAAGAUUUAAGUAACAAUAUGCAAAAGCCUAGAGGACGGAGUCUCCACAAAAUGCUUUUUGCUUUUUAACUAUCUAAUCUGAAUAGUAAAUUGAAAGCCAAUCAAACAUAUUAUCAUUCUGCUUCACCUCAGAGAAUAAACAUAACUCCUCUUUUUGGCUCCUUCCUUGGUAAGCCCGACUAAAUACGACAUCUAUGCUUGUAGAGGGUGGUUUUGAAGAUAUACCAAGCCUCAGUGAUAAAUCGCAGAGCCUCUAUGUUGCUUCUUCCAGGACCUUUAUACCAAUAGGCAUGCCAACAAUUAUAUGUGUUUCACUUCAGGGACUCUUAAAGACAUGUCCACCUGAUCAUUACCUCCAUAAUACAAAGGAUAGACCGAACUCAAGUUGAUUGGAGCUGGAGCACUGCUAGUUUUUUAGCCAAUGGCUUUUGCUGCAUCUGCAUGGAUUCAUGUAGAAACGGGUAACUGCGAGGAGGAUCAGCUAGGCGACUGUUGCUAUUGUCAAGAACAUCCACUGGGAUUGCAGCUUGAGCGGCAUUAAUGAACAUGCUGAUAGAUAUUCAUAACUGUUUUUUUACCAAAAAAAAAAAAAAAUUCAUAACUGUAUUGCAGCUUAUUAACGGAUGCAGAAACCAGCUAGUUAGGACAUCUCCAAUUUAUCUCUUUUUUUUUCAAUAUGAAGUAAACUCAAAAUGUGUUUGUAUAUUAUUUCAAUGGUUUUCUUCAUACCCC
Molecule: long non-coding RNA, 7173 nt
Filed under: Brassica rapa (field mustard)
Lineage: Eukaryota; Viridiplantae; Streptophyta; Magnoliopsida; Brassicales; Brassicaceae
Description: long non-coding RNA (BRAP_LNC005052)
Source: RNAcentral